AUUGAACGCUGGCGGCAUGCCUUACACAUGCAAAUCGAACGGUAACGGGCCUUCGGGUGCCGCCGAGUGGCGGACGGGUGAGUAAUAGAUCGGAACGUGCCCGAUCGUGGUGGUUAACGGGGCAAAAGCUUUGCUAAUACCGCAUACGACCUACGAAUGCAAGCGGGGGACCGCAAGGCCUUGCCGGGCCUGGGCGGCCGAUGGCAGAUUAGGUCGUUGGUGGGAUAAAGGCUUACCAAGGCGACGAUCUGUAGCUGGUCUGAGAGGAUGAUCAGCCACACUGGAACUGAGACACGGCCCAGACUCCUACGGGAGGCAGCAGUGGGGAAUUUUGGACAAUGGGCGCAAGCCUGAUCCAGCCAUGCCGCGUGCAGGAUGAAGGCCUUCGGGUUGUAAACUGAUUUUGUUCGGAACGAAAAGCCUUCUUUUAAUACAGGAGGGUCAUGACGGUACCGUAAGAAUAAGCACCGGCUAACUACGUG
Molecule: ribosomal RNA, 482 nt
Filed under: uncultured bacterium
Lineage: Bacteria
Description: partial 16S ribosomal RNA
Rfam family: Bacterial small subunit ribosomal RNA
Source: RNAcentral